CCCUUAGAUGUUCUGGGCUGCACGCGCGCUACACUGAUGCGCUCAACGAGUUUAUGACCUUGCCCGGAAGGGUUGGGUAAUCUUCUUAAAACGCAUCGUGAUGGGGAUAGAUUAUUGCAAUUAUUAAUCUUCAACGAGGAAUUCCUAGUAAGCACAAGUCAUCAGCUUGUGUUGAUUACGUCCCUGCCCUUUGUACACACCGCCCGUCGCUCCUACCGAUUGAAUGUUCCGGUGAGCUCUUCGGACUGCGCGGUCUGCAGUUUCUGCGUUCCGUGCGGAAAGUUGUGCAAACCUUAACAUUUAGAGGAAGGAGAAGUCGUAACA
Molecule: ribosomal RNA, 324 nt
Filed under: uncultured eukaryote
Lineage: Eukaryota
Description: partial 18S ribosomal RNA
Rfam family: Eukaryotic small subunit ribosomal RNA
Source: RNAcentral